Molecule: long non-coding RNA, 230 nt
Filed under: Elaeis guineensis (African oil palm)
Lineage: Eukaryota; Viridiplantae; Streptophyta; Magnoliopsida; Arecales; Arecaceae
Description: long non-coding RNA (EGUI_LNC031912)
Source: RNAcentral
GACUGCCUGAGGCUGUAGAGGCCAUCUCGGAGCCUCUAUGUGGCCACCUCGUUGAAGAUCUGACGGCCAGCAUCCUCAUCCUAGGGAGUCUCGAAUCGGUAGUACUCCUAAAAGAUAGAAUCAAAGCAUGUAUUAAUAAGUAGAAUAUAAAUGUAUUGUGAAUUUAAAAAUUAAACAUUUCUGACUUAUUCAAAACAUCUCCCAGACUGCAUCACAAGCUCCAGACGGCC